Molecule: microRNA precursor, 96 nt
Filed under: Echinops telfairi (small Madagascar hedgehog)
Lineage: Eukaryota; Metazoa; Chordata; Mammalia; Afrosoricida; Tenrecidae
Description: microRNA 592 (ENSETEG00000020676.1)
Rfam family: mir-592 microRNA precursor family
Source: RNAcentral
UGAUAUUAUGCCAUGACAUUGUGUCAAUAUGCGAUGAUGUGUUGUGAUGACACAGCGUCAUCACGUGGUGACGCAACAUCAUGACGUAAGACAUCA